UACGUAGGGCGCGAGCGUUGUCCGGAAUCAUUGGGCGUAAAGCGCGCGUAGGCGGCCCUGUAAGUCCGUUGUGAAAGUCAAAGGCUCAACCUUUGAAAGCCGAUGGAUACUGCAGGGCUAGAGUCCGGAAGAGGCGAGUGGAAUUCCUGGUGUAGCGGUGGAAUGCGCAGAUAUCAGGAGGAACACCAAUAGCGAAGGCAGCUCGCUGGGACGGUACUGACGCUAAGGCGCGAAAGCGUGGGGAGCGAACAGG
RNAcentral lists this ribosomal RNA (253 nucleotides) under uncultured bacterium. RNAcentral describes it as "partial 16S ribosomal RNA". It matches the Rfam family "Bacterial small subunit ribosomal RNA", at positions 524 to 776 of the family's 1533-position model. The record is from RNAcentral.